UGGGGAAUUUUGGACAAUGGGGGAAACCCUGAUCCAGCCAUCCCGCGUGUGCGAUGAAGGCCUUCGGGUUGUAAAGCACUUUUGGCAGGAAAGAAACGUCAUGGGUUAAUACCCCGUGAAACUGACGGUACCUGCAGAAUAAGCACCGGCUAACUACGUGCCAGCAGCCGCGGUAAUACGUAGGGUGCAAGCGUUAAUCGGAAUUACUGGUCGUAAAGCGUGCGCAGGCGGUUCGGAAAGAAAGAUGUGAAAUCCCAGAGCUCAACUUUGGAACUGCAUUUUUAACUACCGGGCUAGAGUGUGUCAGAGGGAGGUGGAAUUCCGCGUGUAGCAGUGAGAUGCGUAGAUAUGCGGAGGAACACCAGUGGCGAAGGCAGCCUCCUGGGAUAACACUGACGCUCAUGCACGAAAGCGUGGGGAGCAAACAGG
RNAcentral lists this ribosomal RNA (429 nucleotides) under Acidobacteriota bacterium. RNAcentral describes it as "Acidobacteria bacterium partial 16S ribosomal RNA". It matches the Rfam family "Bacterial small subunit ribosomal RNA", at positions 355 to 776 of the family's 1533-position model. Lineage: Bacteria; Pseudomonadati; Acidobacteriota. The record is from RNAcentral.